AGAGAAAAGAAAUAUAACACAUUAGUUUUUAGCCAAUAAUAACAUUAUUUAUUACUCAUUACUAUGAUAUAAUUUUUUUUUUCAUUCUAAAAUGAAGUUUUCAGUGGAGUUUAAAUGGUACAAAGACCAACAAUAACAAAAUGUUGAGUAAUCCUUUCCUAUACAAUAGAAAAACAUAAAUGAUAAAGGAAAUUAAAGAAUACAAUACAAAAAUCUUCUCAUAAAGCUUGCAUUUGACACUACAAAUUCAUCAAAACCUUCUUCGGCUAUACUUGUAAACCUAACAUUCGUCUUCACUCGCAGUCUUUUAAGAAGCUAAGAAAAGCACGACACUAAAAGAAAGAAAAAAAAUCCACAAGAACAGAUGUCUCCACGUAUUCUAUGAAGUGCUUAACCCAUGCCUCAUAAUUUCAAAGAGUCAGCAACAACAUUAUAUAUUAAUCUUAGAAUCAAAGAGUCAACAUCUUAAAACUUAAUAACAACAUUUACUAAGUAAAAUAUAAAAUUUCUAUAGAAUGAAACUUAUGAUAAAGUGUGAAUUACCCCCCUUGAUUGUCAAUGCUUCUAGAUUCUUUAUUUUUUUUUUAUAUUCAUGAGGGCUUAAAGCCCGGAAAUAAGGAAGAUUACAAAGAGAUCAAUCUUGUGAUUCUUCAAUAUUUUACACAAUCAUAAAAGACAAAUAUUUCAAUACAUUUAGCCAAUAUCUCUCAGCAUAGGUUUUGUUACAAUUCAAAUUUGAAACUGAAGUUUGAUAAAGAACCAAGCAUAUAAGAAAGUUGAGAUAUGUAGUUUAGUUUGAUCAUAUUUGAAAUUACGGUUUGAUCAAGAACCAAGCAUUAUGACAAAGAAGAAGACAUGAUUUUGUAAAAUUGUAAAUUUUAAAAGCGACUAUUGAUUUAGGAUAUCUCCCAAAGCAGAAGUAUGAAAGUUUAAGGCAAAAUUACACCUGAGGUCCUUUAUCUUAUUUAUUUGUAACGGAUUGGUCCUUUAUCUUUUUUUUGUCCCAUACAAGUCCUUUAUCUUUAUAAUUGGUCCUUUUUUACAUUUUUUAUUGAAAAUAUGAUGAAGUGGCAAGCCACAUAGGAUAAUUUGAUUUUUUUUUUUAUUGAAAAUUUUAAAAACCAAAAAAUCAUAUGAACAUUCAUCAUGUUCACAUAUGAACAUUCAUCAUGUUCAUCUCAUCUCCUUCAACAUCUUUUUUUUUUUUUUGAACAAAUCUUCUUCAUUACCCAAUAACAAAAUACAUCCACACCCUCCUCAAAAUUCCAUAAACUUAUGUGUUUUGUUUAUCUCAAUCUUCUUCUAAACUCUAAAAUUGAAAUCCUCAAUUCUCAUAAACCCUAAAUUUACCAAAUAAAAAAUAUGAUAUGAUAAAUAUGAUUUUAAAAUUCCAGUUUGCUUUUAACAAAUUAGAAACACGGAAGAGAUUUUAAAACCUGUAAAAAAUGUUGUCUUCGGCUAUAUUGGGGAAUUGGUGUGUUGAACUCAUUUGAAUUAAUAGAGAUUUUAAGUAAUUCUUUGACCCUGAAGAGCAAACUUGACUGGGGCAUCAUCAAUUAUAGGAGGCACAUACAUAUUAGAAGUUGUGAUGUUGACGCACUUGCACAGUUGCACUUGCUUUCAAUUUCGAACAAUUUGUGGCUUUUAAUAAUCCAAAAUUCGUGAUACAUCUUGAGUUAGUUGUGGAUUUUUUUAUUUGAUAAAUUUAGGGUUUAUAAGAAUUGGGGAUUUCAAUUUUAGAGUUUGGAAGAAGAUUGAGGUAAACAAAACACAUAAGUCUAUGGAAUUUUGAGGUGUAUUUGAAUGUAUUUUGUUAUUGGGUAAUGGAGAAGAUGAUAAAGAUGAUGAAGGAGAUGAUGAACAUGAUGAAUGUUCUAUGAUUUUUUGGUUUUUAAAAUUUUCAAUAAAAAAAAAA
RNAcentral lists this long non-coding RNA (1915 nucleotides) under Trifolium pratense (red clover). RNAcentral describes it as "long non-coding RNA (TPRA_LNC005350)". The record is from RNAcentral. Lineage: Eukaryota; Viridiplantae; Streptophyta; Magnoliopsida; Fabales; Fabaceae.